AACGAACGCUGGCGGCAUGCCUAACACAUGCAAGUCGAACGAAGCCUUCGGGCUUAGUGGCGCACGGGUGCGUAACGCGUGGGAAUCUGCCCUUAGGUACGGAAUAACUCAUGGAAACGUGUGCUAAUACCGUAUGAUGUCUUCGGACCAAAGAUUUAUCGCCUAGGGAUGAGCCCGCGUUGGAUUAGCUAGUUGGUGAGGUAAAGGCUCACCAAGGCGACGAUCCAUAGCUGGUCUGAGAGGAUGAUCAGCCACACUGGGACUGAGACACGGCCCAGACUCCUACGGGAGGCAGCAGUGGGGAAUAUUGGGCAAUGGGCGAAAGCCUGACCUAGCAACGCCGCGUGAAGGAAGAAGGCCCUAGGGUUGUAAAGCUCUUUUAACCCCGGGAUGAUAAGUGACAGUACCGGGAGAAUAAGCUCCGGCUAACUCCGUGCCAGCAGCCGCGGUAAUCAUACUCGU
RNAcentral lists this ribosomal RNA (462 nucleotides) under uncultured bacterium. RNAcentral's name for it is "bacterial SSU rRNA". It matches the Rfam family "Bacterial small subunit ribosomal RNA", at positions 29 to 530 of the family's 1533-position model. The record is from RNAcentral.